Molecule: ribosomal RNA, 738 nt
Filed under: Gram-positive bacterium SY241
Lineage: Bacteria
Description: bacterial SSU rRNA
Rfam family: Bacterial small subunit ribosomal RNA
Source: RNAcentral
AACGAUGAAGCCCGNCUUGCUGGGUGGAUUAGUGGCGAACGGGUGAGUAACACGUGAGUAACCUGCCCUUAACUCUGGGAUAAGCCUGGGAAACUGGGUCUAAUACCGGAUAGGAGCGUCCACCGCAUGGUGGGUGUUGGAAAGAUUUAUCGGUUUUGGAUGGACUCGCGGCCUAUCAGCUUGUUGGUGAGGUAAUGGCUCACCAAGGCGACGACGGGUAGCCGGCCUGAGAGGGUGACCGGCCACACUGGGACUGAGACACGGCCCAGACUCCUACGGGAGGCAGCAGUGGGGAAUAUUGCACAAUGGGCGCAAGCCUGAUGCAGCGACGCCGCGUGAGGGAUGACGGCCUUCGGGUUGUAAACCUCUUUCAGUAGGGAAGAAGCGAAAGUGACGGUACCUGCAGAAGAAGCACCGGCUAACUACGUGCCAGCAGCCGCGGUAAUACGUAGGGUGCGAGCGUUAUCCGGAAUUAUUGGGCGUAAAGAGCUCGUAGGCGGUUUGUCGCGUCUGUCGUGAAAGUCCGGGGCUUAACCCCGGAUCUGCGGUGGGUACGGGCAGACUAGAGUGCAGUAGGGGAGACUGGAAUUCCUGGUGUAGCGGUGGAAUGCGCAGAUAUCAGGAGGAACACCGAUGGCGAAGGCAGGUCUCUGGGCUGUAACUGACGCUGAGGAGCGAAAGCAUGGGGAGCGAACAGGAUUAGAUACCCUGGUAGUCCAUGCCGUAAACGUUGGGCAC